Molecule: non-coding RNA, 28 nt
Filed under: Mus musculus (house mouse)
Lineage: Eukaryota; Metazoa; Chordata; Mammalia; Rodentia; Muridae
Source: RNAcentral
UGUUCACCGUGGCAGGUUUCUUGCUGAC